Long non-coding RNA from Nerophis ophidion (straightnose pipefish), 1712 nucleotides. RefSeq lists it as uncharacterized. The record is from RefSeq and is a predicted model, not a curated record. The transcript has 3 exons. NCBI's taxonomy places the organism in Eukaryota, Metazoa, Chordata, Actinopteri, Syngnathiformes, Syngnathidae.
AUGUUCUGAAAGUGUACUGUCAUUUGGGGCUCUGCCAUGCUUUCGUUUCGUUUAAAGACACCUUUAAUUACGUGCGUCUGCUUUCUGUUGUGUGCAGCAGACAAUGUCAAAGAAAGAUCUGAAAGGAAAGAUCAGCCAAACUGAGCGUGAAGAAAUGAACACAAGUCAUUGGCAACCUGAUUCAUCGAGAGCUCUGCAUAUUCACAGAUGCAACAUCACCAAGAGGCAGUCCCACUGAGUCCAUUCUGAGUGCUUGUUUCCCCUGAGUCUGCAACCGGACGUAAUGUCAAAGGCAACAAAGCAUGGAUGAGGUGAAGAAGCAAGAGGUGCCAACCGCCUAUUCACACAUUCUGAAGAUGUCCAAGAGCCACUCACCCCGCCCACCAGCUCAAAGUGACCGUCGUCAUUGGCAAUGAGCUGUCCGUUGAAGGCCCAAGAGAAAGAAACAUCGAGGACAGGAUCGCUGGCGACCUGACAAGGCAACACGAUGCUCUCACCCACGAUGAUUUCCAUGUCUGCUGGGCUCUGACUGAAUCUGGUUGGGUCUGGAAUAGAUAAAAAUAUUUUUUUUUACAUGCGCAUGGAGCAUUGAAACUCUUAGACCCUUUUAGUUGUGUCAUUCUAAAUUUUAUCUUAUGGCUCCAAAAAUACCUAAUAGUGAUUGAUUGAUAUUUUUAUUAGUAAAUUGCACAGUUCAGUAUAUAUUCCGUACAAGUGACCACUAAAUGGUAACACCCGGAUUAGUUUUUCAACUUGUUUAAGUCGGGGUCCACGUUAAUCAAUUCAUGGUAAUGAAUGGUAGUGCUAAUGUAAUAACAUGAAGGUCCAAGAUGACAUUAUUUUUCAACUAUUUUGAGUUUUUUUAGACAUUUUUAAGGUCCCACAAAUAGGGUCAAAGCACCAAAAUUCUGGGCCCCCAUACACAAGACUCCUAAGGCAGUGGUCCACAACCUUUUUUGCACCACGGACCAAGUUAAUGUAGGCAUUAUUUUCAGAGACCGGCUUUUCCAUACCAUACCAACUUCAUUUAUGAAGCCGUUUAAAAACAAUCACAGUUGAAGAACAAAGGGCUGUACACCACCAAGAAAUACAAGCAACAAAUAAAAAUAAGAUUUAAAACAGAGGUAAAACACACAAACACACACACAUUAUAGUGAGCUGUAUUUUUCAUGCACCUAUUUUUGCUGUAUUUAUCUGGUACAGGUGGAAAUGAGAGUUUGAACUGUUUUUAGCUUUUUAACUGCUUUUUAUCAAACAAAUUGCUCUUAAGAUAAUUUGUAUAUGUGUAUAAGUAUAUAUGUGUUUAUAUUAGGGCUGUGAAUCUUUGGGUGUCCCACGAUUCGAUUCAAUAUCGAUUCUUGGGGUCACGAUUCGAUAGUAUAUCAAAUUUUUGAUUCGAUUCUCGAUUCAAAAAUGAUAUUUUUCCGAUUCAAAACGAUUCUGUAUUCAUUCAAUACAUAGAAUUUCAGCAGGAUCUACCCCAGUCUGCUGACAUGCUAGCAGAGUAGUAGAUUAUUUUUUAAAAAGCUUUUAUAAUUAUAAAGGACAAUGCUUUAUCAACCAAUUGCAAUAAUGUAAAUUUGUUUUAACUAUUAAAUGAACCAAAAUAUGACUUAUUUUAUCUUCGUGAAAACAUUGGACACAGUGUGUUGUCAAGCUUAUGAGAUGCGAUGAAAGUGUAAGCCACUGUGACACUAUUGUUCUUUUUUAUU